AGAUUUAAAAGGCAAAUUCAUUGAAAAAUGAAGACGCAAAGCUAUAGGGGCUAACAUCAUAGGAUUAUGCCAGCCAGUUAUUGAA
Molecule: non-coding RNA, 85 nt
Filed under: Bacillus sp. (in: firmicutes)
Lineage: Bacteria; Bacillati; Bacillota; Bacilli; Caryophanales; Bacillaceae
Description: Bacillus sp. c-di-GMP sequence
Rfam family: c-di-GMP-I riboswitch aptamer
About the family: GEMM was predicted in a large-scale screen for bacterial structured RNA regulatory elements.
Source: RNAcentral